This 538-nucleotide ribosomal RNA is filed under the name Pseudomonas sp. M72copaC. RNAcentral describes it as "bacterial SSU rRNA". It matches the Rfam family "Bacterial small subunit ribosomal RNA", at positions 67 to 600 of the family's 1533-position model. The record is from RNAcentral. Lineage: Bacteria; Pseudomonadati; Pseudomonadota; Gammaproteobacteria; Pseudomonadales; Pseudomonadaceae.
CGGAUGAGAAGAGCUUGCUCUUCGAUUCAGCGGCGGACGGGUGAGUAAUGCCUAGGAAUCUGCCUGGUAGUGGGGGACAACGUUUCGAAAGGAACGCUAAUACCGCAUACGUCCUACGGGAGAAAGCAGGGGACCUUCGGGCCUUGCGCUAUCAGAUGAGCCUAGGUCGGAUUAGCUAGUUGGUGAGGUAAUGGCUCACCAAGGCGACGAUCCGUAACUGGUCUGAGAGGAUGAUCAGUCACACUGGAACUGAGACACGGUCCAGACUCCUACGGGAGGCAGCAGUGGGGAAUAUUGGACAAUGGGCGAAAGCCUGAUCCAGCCAUGCCGCGUGUGUGAAGAAGGUCUUCGGAUUGUAAAGCACUUUAAGUUGGGAGGAAGGGCAGUUUCCUAAUACGAAAUUGUUUUGACGUUACCGACAGAAUAAGCACCGGCUAACUCUGUGCCAGCAGCCGCGGUAAUACAGAGGGUGCAAGCGUUAAUCGGAAUUACUGGGCGUAAAGCGCGCGUAGGUGGUUUGUUAAGUUGAAUGUGAAAU